Long non-coding RNA from Triticum aestivum (bread wheat), 2076 nucleotides. RefSeq lists it as uncharacterized. The record is from RefSeq and is a predicted model, not a curated record. NCBI's taxonomy places the organism in Eukaryota, Viridiplantae, Streptophyta, Magnoliopsida, Poales, Poaceae. The transcript has 4 exons.
GUAGGAGCAGCCACAACAGUCGCCAGUGCUGCCUCAUCUACCGCCCUUCACGCCACCAUCCAUCCACCCGGUGAACUGGAGAGGCAGAUGAUGAGCGUCGCCUCGUAUCUUGGGGCUGGAUCCCGAUUCUGCCGCUCCACGGCAUGCCGUCCGCCUUUUCCUCCACCUUGUGUGGCUGCUCUGGUCAACCUCUUCCUCAUCGUAGGUGCUCAACAGGAGAAGCGCGAGCAGCCGGUGCAGCCGAGAGUUCGCCUGGUUGCAGCUCGACUUCAGGUAUACUAGAAGCUGAUGAGUCUCCAAUUCGUUGUUGUUCUUAAUGAUAUGAAAGUGCAACCGUGUUUUUUGCUACAAGCUGAUGCAUAAUACUUUGCUUGCAGCCAACAUCAGCCUUUGUUGCUGUUACUGUCCCAUUUUGAGAACCAAAGAAAUACUGCCUUUCAGCUAGAUGUGUGUUAGGUGAAUGCUGCAGGCCAUUUUGUUCAUUGGCCCGGCAUGAUUUGGAUUGCAUCACCUACAGAGGUCUGUGUGAUUGAUGAGCUGGCUUAGGAAGGCACAGUCGAUUAUUAUUGCCUAUUUCUCCAUUGAAAGCUGCUGCUACUUUCAUCUUGGAAGGUACUUGUGUGUACAAUGGAUACUUUUAUUGUGAUUUUUCUUCUUUGUCAUGGAGAGUUUGAAACUACUAUACAUAUUAGUCUUUUGCGAUUUCACUUUCCUAAGCUCGAGCCGCAGCGUUGGUCCACGACGCCGGCACCAUCGUCGUCCGUAGUAAGAGUGUGGGCUACAGAGACGUCCGGCUCCGUCCGGCUCUCGCGCCACUGUCUGUCCACCCGAGAGGUCAGUCCUCGCGUCCUAGCCUCCAUCCUCUCUUGCUGUCACACACACCCUCUCCUCCAUCCUCACGCAUGCCCUCAACAGAAGAGAAGAUGGAGCCGGCACGUGUUGCUGGUUCAGUUAAAAGAAGAAGGGCCUUUGUUGCCUGGAAAGCACUGCCGAGUCUUGCUGCCAUGUUUUCCUCUGUUCUUCUAAAUGGUUCAUUCUGUCCAAAGAAAUAAUAAGUUGUGUACGGUAUUAGUUCAAACUAUCCAAAGAAAAUGCUUAUUUAGUGCAUUCUGACCAAGGCUGGCAUGUAUACAGGGUUGGGGGCCAUUUUACUUGGUCAUCCAUUUCCUUAAGUAAAAGCUGCUCUUUUCUGUCAGAUAUUUGCUGUGUGGAUGACCGAUCAUGCAACUAUAUAGUAAGAUAGUGUUCUUGUUUUCUGUGACUGUAUAAAUGACGAAAUAAAUUAGUAACUAAGUGAUUCAUUCUGACGUUUUAGUAAAAUACACCAUGUAUGUCCUGUAAGUAAGUUAGGCUUCAAUGCGAUAUCGAUUUUUUGUAUUAGAAUCUGAUAUUUUAUCUGCAUGUGUAGCACUCAAAUUACGUUUUUCAUUUCUGUUUUCUUUUCAUUUAAGAUGUUACUUUGAGUUGCUAAAGUUGAUGUUUCUCAUUUCCAGUAGGAUAUGCAUUUGAUCCAGUCCAUGUCUUGGUCUCUUUUUGAAGUGUGUUUAGCCAUGUUCUUCCUACAUGUGUUCAAUCCAUCGGUAGCUAGCGGAUGUUGUGCUGUGACAAAGGUGCACUCCAGGAAAAAAUUAUUCUGCAAAGAAUCUUUAUCAACAAAGCGCAUAGGGAAGAUUGUCAGUGUCAGCGACCAAUUAUUUUGUUCAGCAGGUGUUCCCUUCAAAUGAGGCUCCAGCAAGGGGAUGCUAGCAGAUAUCAACCGGUUGGUUGAAUGUGUGCACAUUCUGUAAAGUCAACUUAAAGCUUCAGCAAGUGUGUUCAUUGUCCUCUCCAUUUCAAACAAACCAUCAGCUGGUUCUUUAAUAUUUUAUUACUUAAUCAUACUGUAGAAUUUGUUUCUUGGUGAUCUAAAACUUAUAGCCAUUAAGGGAAGCCCUUGGUUUGUAUUAGGUACUUGUGCCAUUGGGUGGAACUGUAUGAAAAAUAGUGAGAGAAUGCUGGUAGAAAUUAGCAGUAAUGUAAUUACAUAGAGAGAAGGUACUCACAUGUCACAUCAUAUUUCCCCAUGCUCCUCUUCAA